Molecule: non-coding RNA, 46 nt
Organism: Schistosoma margrebowiei
Lineage: Eukaryota; Metazoa; Platyhelminthes; Trematoda; Strigeidida; Schistosomatidae
Source: Rfam
CUGCCACUGAGGAGUCUCACAAUAGAACGAAACGGCCGUCAAACAG